AAUCCUGGUUGAAGAUGGGUGGACCAUCAUCCAAGGCUAAAUACUACUUACUGACCGAUAGUGAACCAGUACCGUGAGGGAAAGGUGAAAAGAACCCCGGAGAGGGGAGUGAAAUAGAAUCUGAAACCGUUUGCGUACAAGCAGUGGGAGCAUGGUUUAGGCUGUGUGACUGCGUACCUUUUGUAUAAUGGGUCAGCGAGUUACUUUCAGUGGCGAGGUUAACUGAAUAAGGGAGCCGUAGAGAAAUCGAGUCUGAAUAGGGCGAUAGUCGCUGGGAGUAGACCCGAAACCGGGCGAUCUAGCCAUGUGCAGGAUGAAGGUUGGGUAACACCAACUGGAGGUCCGAACCGGGUAAUGUUGAAAAAUUAUCGGAUGACGUGUGGCUAGGAGUGAAAGGCUAAUCAAGCCCGGAGAUAGCUGGUUCUCCCCGAAAGCUAUUUAGGUAGCGCCUCGUGAAUGAUUACUGGGGGUAGAGCACUGUUUCGGCUAGGGGGCUGUCAUGGCUUACCAAACCGAUGCAAACUCCGAAUACCGGCUAAUUGAAUCACGGGAGACACACGGCGGGUGCUAACGUCCGUCGUGGAGAGGGAAACAACCCAGACCGCCAGCUAAGGUCCCCAAGUACUAGUUAAGUGGGAAACGAUGUGGGAAGGCAUAGACAGCCAGGAGGUUGGCUUAGAAGCAGCCACCCUUUAAAGAAAGCGUAAUAGCUCACUGGUCGAGUCGGCCUGCGCGGAAGAUGUAACGGGGCUAAAACUAGUCACCGAAGCUGCGGAUGUGCGCGAAGGCGCACGUGGUAGGGGAGCGUUCUGUAGGCUGAUGAAGGUGCAUUGAGAAGUGUGCUGGAGGUAUCAGAAGUGCGAAUGCUGACAUGAGUAACGAUAAUGUGGGUGAAAAGCCCACACGCCGGAAGUCCCAGGUUUCCUGCACGACGUUAAUCGGAGCAGGGUGAGUCGGCCCCUAAGGCGAGGCUGAAGAGCGUAGUCGAUGGGAACCAGGUUAAUAUUCCUGGACUUUUUAUAAGUGGUGAAGUGGGGACGAAGAAGGCUAGGUGAGCCAGGCGUUGGUUGUCCUGGUACUUGCAUGUAGGGGGGAAGACUUGGCAAAUCCGGUUUUCCAUAACUCUGAGGUGCGAAGUGGUUCUGACCUUUUGGUACAGAGAAGUCAUUGAUGCCCGGCUUCCAGGAAAAGCUGCUAGCCAUAACUUAUAGAGAACCGUACCGCAAACCGACACAGGUGGACAGGUAGAGAAUACUAAGGCGCUUGAGAGAACUCGGGUGAAGGAACUAGGCAAAAUGGUACCGUAACUUCGGGAGAAGGUACGCCCUUUCUGGUGAUGGGAUUUACUUUCAGAGCUGGAGAGGGCCGCAGAGACCAGGUGGCUGCGACUGUUUAUUAAAAACACAGCACUCUGCAAAUUCGUAAGAAGACGUAUAGGGUGUGACGCCUGCCCGGUGCCGGAAGGUUAAUUGAUGGGGUUAUCUUCGGAGAAGCUCUUGAUCGAAGCCCCGGUAAACGGCGGCCGUAACUAUAA
This 1534-nucleotide ribosomal RNA is filed under the name Legionella pneumophila. RNAcentral describes it as "partial 23S ribosomal RNA". It matches the Rfam family "Bacterial large subunit ribosomal RNA", at positions 430 to 1945 of the family's 2925-position model. The record is from RNAcentral. Lineage: Bacteria; Pseudomonadati; Pseudomonadota; Gammaproteobacteria; Legionellales; Legionellaceae.